Molecule: ribosomal RNA, 492 nt
Filed under: uncultured bacterium
Lineage: Bacteria
Description: partial 16S ribosomal RNA
Rfam family: Bacterial small subunit ribosomal RNA
Source: RNAcentral
AGUGAACGCUGGCGGUAGGCCUAACACAUGCCAAUCGAACGGCAGCACAGUAAGAGCUUGCUCUUACGGGUGGCGAGUGGCGGACGGGUGAGGAAUACAUCGGAAUCUACUUUUUCGUGGGGGAUAACGUAGGGAAACUUACGCUAAUACCGCAUACGACCUACGGGUGAAAGCAGGGGAUCUUCGGACCUUGCGCGAUUGAAUGAGCCGAUGUCGGAUUAGCUAGUUGGCGGGGUAAAGGCCCACCAAGGCGACGAUCCGUAGCUGGUCUGAGAGGAUGAUCAGUCACACUGGAACUGAAACACGGUCCAGACUCCUACGGGAGGCAGCAGUGGGGAAUAUUGGACAAUGGGCGCAAGCCUGAUCCAGCCAUACCGCGUGGGUGAAGAAGGCCUUCGGGUUGUAAAGCCCUUUUGUUGGGAAAGAAAAGCAGCAGGUUAAUACCCCGCUGUUCUGACGGUACCCAAAGAAUAAGCACCGGCUAACUUCGUG